UAGCAAGCCUCCAGCAUGCUUAAGUCUGCAGUGACCCUAUGCAUCCCUACAGUGCUUGCCAGAACAGUUUUGAAACGGUUUGAGGCCUUGCCCUGCUCCAUCCAGAGCAAGGGUAUAGAAAUUUCAGACAAUU
Pongo abelii (Sumatran orangutan) is the source of this 133-nucleotide small nucleolar RNA. Lineage: Eukaryota; Metazoa; Chordata; Mammalia; Primates; Hominidae. The record is from Ensembl.